This 1449-nucleotide long non-coding RNA is filed under the name Homo sapiens (human). Its description in RNAcentral is "HSALNT0208948". Lineage: Eukaryota; Metazoa; Chordata; Mammalia; Primates; Hominidae. The record is from RNAcentral.
AUUCUCCUGCUUCAGCCUCCCGAGUAGCUGGGACUAUAGGCCCGGCCACCACAACCAGCUAAUUUUUUUUUUUUUUUUUUUUUUUUUUUUAGUAGAGACGGGGUUUCACCAUGUUAGUCAGGAUGGUCUCUAUCUCCUGACCUCGCGAUCCGCCCGCUUCGGCCUCCCAAAGUGCUGGGAUUACAGGUGUGAGCCACUGUGCCCGGCUGAAAGCCUGAUAUAUCUUUCUACCAUAGCAAGAACUAGCAGCACCUUACCCAGUAUGAGACCGACCCAGGUCUGCCUUAAUAUAUAUACCGUAAUAUAUACCUAACAGUUUUUUUUUUUUUUUUGAGAGGGAGUCUCGCUCUGUCGCCCAGGCUGGAGUGCAGUAUCGCGAUAUCGGUUCGCUGCAAGCUCCGCCUCCCGGGGUCACGUCAUUCUCCUGCCUCAGCUUCCGGAGCAGCUGGGACUGCUGGCGCCCGCCACUACGCUCGGCUAAUUUUUUUGUGUUUUUAGUAGAGACGGGCUUUCACCGUGUUGGCCUAGCGGUUCUCCAACUCCUGACCUCAUGAUCCCCCCGCCUCAGCCUCCCAAAGUGCUGGGAUUACAAGCGUGAGCCACCGCGACCCGCCAACACUCUUGACAACAGUGCUGUGCUAAGAACUUGGGGGACUUCAAAAAGUUCACCAGUUCCUGUGUCCAUGGGUGAAAAGAUUUUCUACAUCUUUCCUUGACUAGAAACAGAAGUCCUGAAACAAGGUACACCUUCUUGAGGCUUACUUGGUGAGUCUAAUUUGUCUUCUGGCACCACUGUGAAUUUGAAGGCUUACGUCUUCUUCCCUGAUCAUAUGUUUUCUACAUGUCAGGAAUAUAACGUCAGGAGGCCAGAGGCUUUGUCCUGCCUAAUGUGUUAUUUCCACACUGAAUAAAAGCACCUGAGUCCUGGUAAGUCUAAUUUGCUAGGUGUGGCAAUAUGACCAGUGAAAAACAACAAGGGCAGCAUUUCCUGCAGUUCGGUGGCACAGUAUGGUUCAAAGAGGUAUAAAAGGAAGUCACAGGCAUUUUAAAAAGGUUGUACAUCUAGCAAUACCUAACAAAAUAGGAAAUCAACUUGGAAAGCCAAUGGCUGUGUUUUGAGUUUAUGGAGAGCCAUAUGUGGCAAGGAACUGAGGGUGGCAUCCAGGCAACAGACUUCAAGAAACUGAGGCUGUCAGUCCAACAACCCACAAGAACUGAAUCUGACCAACAAUCACAGGAACAAACUUAGAAGUAUACUCUUUCCCAGACAAACCUUCAGAUGAGACCACAGCCCCAGCCAUAAGCUUGAAAACAAUCUCAUGAGGGACCUUGAGCCACAGGCAUGUAGUAAAGCUAUGCCAGGAAUCCUGCCUGCCCCACAGAAAAUGUAAAAAAAAUAAAUUUUUAUUGUUUUAAGCCACGAAGUUUUGAAGUAAUUUGAUAUAAAAC